This is a long non-coding RNA of Numida meleagris (helmeted guineafowl), 1043 nucleotides long. RefSeq lists it as uncharacterized. Lineage: Eukaryota; Metazoa; Chordata; Aves; Galliformes; Numididae. The record is from RefSeq and is a predicted model, not a curated record. The transcript has 3 exons.
GCGGCGGCCUGCGUCAAAGCACGAGCCCGCGGUGAGCCCCUGCCCGCCGCCAGCCCCCAGCGCGGCCCCAGCGCGUAGCGCGGUCCCAGAGGUGCUCGGGCUGGAAGGGGCUCGCAGCCCGUCCCGCCCCAGCGCGCUCCCGCUGCGUGCUUGUCUACCGUGACGUGAGCAGUGCUGUCAGUGCAGCGGGAGGGUUCCCGAGGUGAGGUGGAAUCCUAACAGGGAUGCUCCCAGUGUGUUUUAGUCCUGAUCUGCGUUGCCUUUGCUGUGUGUGAGGGCAGCAGCCCAGCAAUGGAGAGGACUGCAGUGGAGAGCCUUUACUCUGUAAAGACUGGAUGUGGGGCCGUCACCGUCCCUGGAGGUGUUCCAGAGCCGUGGAGAUGUGGCACUGAGGGACAUGCCAGUAAUGUAGGUGUGGUGAAAGGAGGAAGUUAUCAGCCAAGGAAUGAAGACUGGUCUGAAGUUAUACAACUUGCGCUUCUUUCUCAAAAGCAAGUUCUGCCAGCGGUGUGAAGGAAUCAGUCCAAGAGCGAAACACGCAAAGAUGAACAGAAGGCUUUUACCUAUCACAAAAGAUGUUUGAGAAUCAGAGAUAAAAUGAGGUAAAGAAAUCAAGAGGGCCUUGCCUUUUUGUCUCAGCAUAAGAAGACGUAACAUUUUUUUUGCCUGAAGCUAAGAUCCCCUUGUUCCUUUUCCCCAUCACUUCCCUUAAAUGUCUGUUUCCUCUCUGAGUCAGCUCACUGGAGCAGCCAUCGUCAGUCACUGGGCUGGCACUGGCAGGUUCUUCUAAAAGACAGUGAUUUUGAGUAGCCACCAUUUUAGCACAAAUGGCACUGUUUAAAGCAUGUGUAUUGGAAAAUAUACCCUGGAUGUCAGCACUGGAAAUGUCCAGUGCCACUGUCAAAUCUAGAGAUAAGGAGUUCAAAUAGCCUCAAACUCCUGUUUACAGAUCACGUCCAGCCCUAGAAUCCUACUGAGCAGACUUUCACUCGUGCCCUGCACACACGCUCCUUCCUCAGUCACAUUAAAGAUGGUAACAACUG